ACACUCCAACCCUCCUGGCAUCGGAGAUAUCUACCAGACAGACUGUGAAAUAGCUUGAAUAAGUGGACCCUGCAAAUACCUAUAUCAUUUGCCUCUACCCUCCUGGAAGACCAUUUCCUCUUGUCUGCUACACUCCAACCCUCCUGGCAUCGGAGAUAUCUACCAGACAGACUGUGAAAUAGCUUGAAUAAGUGGACCCUGCAAAUACCUAUAUCAUUUGCCUCUACCCUCCUGGAAGACCAUUUCCUCUUGUCUGCUACACUCCAACCCUCCUGGCAUCGGAGAUAUCUACCAGACAGACUGUGAAAUAGCUUGAAUAAGUGGACCCUGCAAAUACCUAUAUCAUUUGCCUCUACCCUCCUGGAAGACCAUUUCCUCUUGUCUGCUACACUCCAACCCUCCUGGCAUCGGAGAUAUCUACCAGACAGACUGUGAAAUAGCUUGAAUAAGUGGACCCUGCAAAUACCUAUAUCAUUUGCCUCUACCCUCCUGGAAGACCAUUUCCUCUUGUCUGCUACACUCCAACCCUCCUGGCAUCGGAGAUAUCUACCAGACAGACUGUGAAAGUAUGCUAUUCAUAUAUGUUUAACCCACAUCAGCUGAACUGUGUGAACCAGUCUAGCUACUUGCACAGGACUGCCAGCAGCCAAUAGGUCUGGCCCUCUUCACUACUCUACUCUAGACUUUCGACUACCUUUUUUUAUACUUCUAUCCUCUCUUCCCUCUCACCUUUCCUCCUUUAUUAGCCACCUACGAGUAUAUCAGUGAUAUAUAUACUCUCUCAGGCCACUAGGUGGCAUCCUUUGUUCUUUUAAAUCUGCUCCUUCCUGAUUUAUUACAACACAUACCCCUUUAUCUCUUGAUUUGGUGUC
Protopterus annectens (West African lungfish) is the source of this 872-nucleotide long non-coding RNA. RefSeq lists it as uncharacterized. The record is from RefSeq and is a predicted model, not a curated record. Lineage: Eukaryota; Metazoa; Chordata; Ceratodontiformes; Protopteridae. The transcript has 3 exons.